RNAcentral lists this ribosomal RNA (468 nucleotides) under uncultured bacterium. RNAcentral describes it as "partial 16S ribosomal RNA". It matches the Rfam family "Bacterial small subunit ribosomal RNA", at positions 28 to 507 of the family's 1533-position model. The record is from RNAcentral.
GACGAACGCUGGCGGCGUGCUUAACACAUGCAAGUCGAACGGAAAGGCCCUGCUUUUGUGGGGUGCUCGAGUGGCGAACGGGUGAGUAACACGUGAGUAACCUGCCCUUGACUUUGGGAUAACUUCAGGAAACUGGGGCUAAUACCGGAUAGGAGCCCCUGCUGCAUGGUGGGGGUUGGAAAGUUUCGGCGGUUGGGGAUGGACUCGCGGCUUAUCAGCUUGUUGGUGGGGUAGUGGCUUACCAAGGCUUUGACGGGUAGCCGGCCUGAGAGGGUGACCGGCCACAUUGGGACUGAGAUACGGCCCAGACUCCUACGGGAGGCAGCAGUGGGGAAUAUUACACAAUGGGCGGAAGCCUGAUGCAGCAACGCCGCGUGCGGGAUGACGGCCUUCGGGUUGUAAACCGCUUUCGCCUGUGACGAAGCGUGAGUGACGGUAAUGGGUAAAGAAGCACCGGCUAACUACGUG